AUUGUACUCUCUUCGUCCAGAAAUAUUUAUCAUCAAAAUGAAUAAAAGAAAAUGUAUGUAGAUGCAUUUUAGUUCUAGAUACAUCCAUUUUUGUCCAUUUUGAUGGCAAGUAUUUUCGGACAAAGGUAGAAAAAG
Molecule: non-coding RNA, 135 nt
Organism: Triticum aestivum (bread wheat)
Lineage: Eukaryota; Viridiplantae; Streptophyta; Magnoliopsida; Poales; Poaceae
Source: Rfam